RNAcentral lists this long non-coding RNA (1279 nucleotides) under Equus caballus (horse). RNAcentral describes it as "lncRNA (ENSECAG00000050023.1)". The record is from RNAcentral. Lineage: Eukaryota; Metazoa; Chordata; Mammalia; Perissodactyla; Equidae.
CUGCUUUCUGGCACACGUGAAUUCAGAGAAGAUUCUCUCUCUCUCUACAUCAUGAAAGUGAUUGCCUGAAGAGGCGCUUGAUUGGACCGAGAGGUUAAAACAAAUACAAGGACGUGACACUGGGAAAGUUAGACCAUAAGAAGACUUUCAGAAGCGUUCUGCUUCCACUGGGUCCAAGUAGCUCUCAUCAGACCAGCCCUCCUGGGAUCAAUAAAAAACGUUCAAUUCCUGAGAAACACAAAUAAAACAACUACUUGAUGACACUGGAGUGUGAAGAAAAGCAGGCAGAAACUAGAGGAGGGAUGAUGCUUGGAAGAAAGGAAAGAAACCUGGUGAGUUUCCUGUUUGGAAACACUUAUCUGGGGGCAGAUCCAGUCUACACCACGAGGAACAGCCAGAACUGAUGGAAAUGCACAAUCUUACUUCCUUGAAGAACCAGAAGACAGGGUUCGGAGUGCAGCUACAGCCACUGGAAUAUGAGGAGGAAAAUACCAGAAAAGGAGAAAGCUAGAGAAGGACUUGCAGACACCUCACCUGCCACCAAUUCCUGGAGAUGUUUUCUUGGACCUCCCCUCAUUUUCCUACAAUUAAGAUAGAAUCUCUUACACCUUUUCCUACCUUGUUGUUGAGUCAUUACUUGCAAGGAAUAAAAACACACUGAAAUGGCUCGGCAACAAGAAAGAGGUGAGAGCUGUUCAAAGCCUAGAAGUCCAGGACGGGAACAGAGGUGGGCUUUGUGCAGACCAGCCUGGGCCUGGCGUCAGAAAGCCAUCAGAUCUAGAGAAGUGGAGACUUUUCUCUUCCUAAGGCUACGUGGUUUUCUGCCAUUGCUUGUCUCACAUGUGGUCCAAUUUUGCAACCCUAAUCGGCGACCUCUGCCCUUGAGUCCACAUGACAGUGCACUUGGACUCCACUCUGAUAUGACUCAUUCUUUGAGUCCAGUUCCCAGGAAAAAUCAAAAACCAAAAUCCAGAAAGCCAGUGAUAUCUUAUUUUGGUUUUGAUUUGCUUUUCCCUAAUAAUUAGUGGCAUUGAACAUCUUUUCAUGGGCCUGUUGGCUAUCUGUAUAUCUUCUUUGGAAAAAUGUGUGUUCAUAUCCUCUUCCUAUUUUUAAAUCAGGUUAUUUUGUUGUUGUUUAGUUGUAUGUGUUCUUUAUAUAUUUUGGAUCUUAACCCCUUAUUGGAUAUAUAUAUGACUUGCAAAUAUCUUCUCCCAUUUGAUAGGUUGUCUUUUCAUUUUGUUGGUGGCUUCCUUUGUUGUGUAGAAGCUUUUUAGUUUGA